GAUGAACGCUAGCGAUAGGCUUAACACAUGCAAGUCGAGGGGCAGCAUGGUCUUAGCUUGCUAAGGCUGAUGGCGACCGGCGCACGGGUGCGUAACGCGUAUGCAACUUGCCUCACAGAGGGGGAUAACCCGUCGAAAGACGGACUAAUACCGCGUACACUCUAUGUUGGGCAUCCAAUGUAGAGGAAAUGAAAUUCGCUGUGAGAUAGGCAUGCGUCCCAUUAGCUAGUUGGUGAGGUAACGGCUCACCAAGGCGACGAUGGGUAGGGGAACUGAGAGGUUGAACCCCCACACUGGUACUGAGACACGGACCAGACUCCUACGGGAGGCAGCAGUGAGGAAUAUUGGUCAAUGGGCGAGGGCCUGAACCAGCCAAGUCGCGUGAAGGAUGACUGUCUUAUGGAUUGUAAACUUCUUUUAUACGGGAAUAACAAGAGUCACGUGUGGCUCCCUGCAUGUACCGGAUGAAUAAGCAUCGGCUAACUCCGUG
This 490-nucleotide ribosomal RNA is filed under the name uncultured bacterium. RNAcentral's name for it is "partial 16S ribosomal RNA". It matches the Rfam family "Bacterial small subunit ribosomal RNA", at positions 28 to 507 of the family's 1533-position model. The record is from RNAcentral.